This 649-nucleotide long non-coding RNA is filed under the name Homo sapiens (human). RNAcentral's name for it is "non-protein coding lnc-GOLGA8Q-4:2". The record is from RNAcentral. Lineage: Eukaryota; Metazoa; Chordata; Mammalia; Primates; Hominidae.
GGUUAUCCAAGGACAUGGAAAAGCCAACACCAUGGUAGCAUUAAUGAAAGUUUACCAAGAGGAAGAUGAAGCCUACCAGGAAUUAGUUACCAUGGCAACCAUGUUUUUCCAGUACUUACUGCAGCCAUUUAGGGCUAUGCGAGAAGUUGCAACUUUAUAAUUCCUUGGAUGAGGAUGACGUAGGUCCUACGUCUCCAGGAUAGUUGCCCUGGAGAAAGAAGCUGAAGAAUGGACCAGACGGGCUGAAGAAGCUGUUGUCUCUAUUCAAGAUAUCACAGUGAAUUAUUUUAAUUAGACAGUAAAAGCAUUAGCAGGAAUGCAGAAAGAAAUGGAACAGGAUGUGAAGAGAUUUGGCCAGGCUGCCUGGGCCACAGCAAUUCCCAGGUUGGAAAAACUUAAGCUAAUGCUAGCUCAAGAGACUCUGCAACUCAUGAGAGCGAAAGAAUUGUAUUUAAAUCGCAAAAGAGCUGAAAUUCAGGGAAAGAUGGAAGAUCUUCCAGAACAAGAAAAAAAUAUAAAUGUUGUAGAUGAAUUAGAAAUGCAAUUUUAUGAAAUUCAGUUAGAACUAUAUGAAGUUAAAUUUGAGAUAUUAAAAAACGAAGAAAUACUGCUUACUACACAGUUGGACUCUCUUAAAAGACUUAUAAAA